CGUAGGGUGCGAGCGUUGUCCGGAAUUAUUGGGCGUAAAGGGCUCGUAGGCGGUUUGUCGCGUCGGGAGUGAAAACCUUGGGCUUAACUCAGGGCUUGCUUUCGAUACGGGCAGACUAGAGGUAUGCAGGGGAGAACGGAAUUCCUGGUGUAGCGGUGAAAUGCGCAGAUAUCAGGAGGAACACCGGUGGCGAAGGCGGUUCUCUGGGCAUGAUCUGACGCUGAGGAGCGAAAGUGUGGGGAGCGAACAGGAUUAGAUACCCUGGUAGUCCACACCGUAAACGUUGGGCGCUAGGUGUGGGAUCCAUUCCACGGGUUCCGUGCCGCAGCUAACGCAUUAAGCGCCCCGCCUGGGGAGUACGGCCGCAAGGCUA
This 373-nucleotide ribosomal RNA is filed under the name uncultured organism. Its description in RNAcentral is "bacterial SSU rRNA". It matches the Rfam family "Bacterial small subunit ribosomal RNA", at positions 526 to 896 of the family's 1533-position model. The record is from RNAcentral.